CUGCUCCCCAUAGAUUUCUUGGCUAUAUUAGGAACUUGUUUUCUUCCUCUUAGCCUGAGUCAAAGCUGGAAUUUUUCAGAAGCAAGUCUAUUAAGAAAUGAAGGGGCAGGGACUGCGGAGACGCCCCAGUAAGCAAAGUUAUACUCUGGUCACGAAGACGGAGCACUGUGGUCCUGAAACCAGAUGGCCUGACUUCGAAUCAGAGCUCUGCUGCUUUCUCGUUGUGAAACCAACUGGAGCUUCUUUAACCUCCAUCUGCUUUCAUUUCCUUCCUACUGAACUGGGGGUGACACCAAGAGCACCUCUCUGUGGUGAGACAAACUUGAACAUCUAUGGAGCAAGUGGGACUGAACCAGGACAUCUAACAUACGUAUGCUCUCUGUGGCAAGACGAACAUUGAACAUCUAUGGAGCAAGGGGAACUGCACCAGGACAGGAGGGUCUGGCUGUCCUGGAACUUGCUAUGUAGACUACGUUGGCCUCAAACUCACAGAGAUCCACCUGCCUGCUGGGCUUCAAGUCCAUGCACCACCACACCCAGCUUGUAUGAGUAUUUUUGUUAAAUAAAAGUAUGGCAUCAUACAAUAACAAAAUAGGUUUCCAAAAUGGACACAUUUGGGAAUGUUACUAAAAACUGGUUCCAACGGAGGAAAGUCCUAAGAGUUAGCUUAUUUCUCGCUAGGCAUUCAGUCCUACAGCAUCUUGUAUUGACUGUAGCGCGCGGAGAUGUAGCGUGCGCCAUGGCGCUGUCAUGUCGUGGGCACGGAGCCUGGACGCCAUUUGCUGUUCCACGUCAAACUUGACAACUUGUGCUCAUGCGCGCGAGCUCCCCCUUGUGCGCAUGCUCGCGAGCUCCCCCCAGCGCGGGGAGUCUUUCGAUCUGGCCAUCCGAUCUGGCCAAUCAUAAUUUAAGCACGAUCACUCCAUUCUGGCCUGAGCCAUUGGGUUGAUGACACGUCAGGGCUUUGUCUGGCACCGUAUAUAUUCUUCUGCUUCAC
Long non-coding RNA from Alexandromys fortis (reed vole), 997 nucleotides. RefSeq lists it as uncharacterized. The transcript has 3 exons. NCBI's taxonomy places the organism in Eukaryota, Metazoa, Chordata, Mammalia, Rodentia, Cricetidae. The record is from RefSeq and is a predicted model, not a curated record.